Molecule: ribosomal RNA, 1241 nt
Filed under: metagenome
Description: bacterial LSU rRNA
Rfam family: Bacterial large subunit ribosomal RNA
Source: RNAcentral
UGAAUACGAGACGCUAAGGCGUCGAAGUAGUGUAUGUCAUACUUCCAAGAAAAGCUUGCACUGUCAUAGAUAAAAAACGCCUGUACCAUAACCGACACAGGUGGGUAGGUAGAGUAUACUAAGGGGCGCGAGAUAACUCUCUCUAAGGAACUCGGCAAAAUAACUCCGUAACUUCGGGAGAAGGAGUGCCUUAUUCGUAAGGUUGCAAUAACAAGAUCCAAGCAACUGUUUAUCAAAAACACAGGUCUCCGCUAAGUCGUAAGACGAUGUAUGGGGGCUGACGCCUGCCCAGUGCCAGAAGGUUAAAGAAGUUGGUUAGCAAUUGCGAAGCUGAUAACUGAAGCCCUGGUGAACGGCGGCCGUAACGAUAACGGUCCUAAGGUAGCGAAAUUCCUUGUCGGGUAAGUUCCGACCCGCACGAAAGGCGUAAUGAUUUGGAUACUGUCUCGGAGAGGGGCUCGGUGAAAUAGACUUGUCUGUGAAGAUGCGGACUACCUGCACCAGGACAGAAAGACCCUAUGAAGCUUUACUGUAACUUGAAAUUGAAAUUGGACUUUAUUCGCGCAGUAUAGGUGGGAGGCGUUGAUUAUAAUCUUGUGGGAUUAUUGGAGCCAUCAGUGAGAUACCACUCUUGUAAUGUUAGAUUUCUAACUUUGAAUCAUUAUCUGGUCAAAGAACAGUUUCAGGCGGGCAGUUUGACUGGGGCGGUCGCCUCCCAAACGGUAACGGAGGCGUACAAAGGUUUCCUCUGAACGGUUAGAAAUCGUAUCUAGAGUGUAAAGGCAUAAGGAAGCUUGACUGUGAGACCUACAAGUCGAGCAGGGACGAAAGUCGGUCUUAGUGAUCUGACGGUACUGGAAAGGCCGUCACUCAACGGAUAAAAGUUACUCUAAGGAUAACAGGCUGAUCUCCCCCAAGAGUUCACAUCGACGGGGAGGUUUGGCACCUCGAUGUCGGCUCAUCGCAUCCUGGGGCGGUAGUACGUCCCAAGGGUUGGGCUGUUCGCCCAUGAAAGCGGUACGCGAGCUGGGUUCAGAACGUCGUGAGACAGUUCGGUCCAUAUCCGGUGUAGGCGUUAGAAUAUUGAGAGGAGCCUUCUUUAGUACGAGAGGACCGAGAAGGACAUACCUCUGGUGUACCAGUUAUCGUGCCAACGGUAAACGCUGGGUAGCUAUGUAUGGAGUGGAUAACCGCUGAAAGCAUCUAAGUGGGAAGCCCACCUCAAGAUAAGUAUUCUCAUG